CCCUUAGAUGUUCUGGGCCGCACGCGUGCUACACUGAGUGGAUCAGCGGGUCAGGUUGCGCGAAAGCGUUUCCUAAUCUUUAAAUCCGCUCGUGAUGGGGAUUGACGGUUGCAAUUUUCUGUCAUGAACGAGGAAUACCUUGUAAGCGCGGGUCAUCAUCCCGCGCUGAAUACGUCCCUGCCCUUUGUACACACCGCCCGUCGCUCCUACCGAUUGAAUGGUCCGGUGAAAUCUUCGGACCGGGCGAUGGUCAGCAAUGGCCGCUGCCUGGAAAGUCGCUUAAACCUUACCAUUUAGAGGAAGGUGAAGUCGUAACA
This 317-nucleotide ribosomal RNA is filed under the name uncultured eukaryote. RNAcentral's name for it is "partial 18S ribosomal RNA". It matches the Rfam family "Eukaryotic small subunit ribosomal RNA", at positions 1470 to 1796 of the family's 1831-position model. The record is from RNAcentral.